This is a long non-coding RNA of Stomoxys calcitrans (stable fly), 1659 nucleotides long. RefSeq lists it as uncharacterized. NCBI's taxonomy places the organism in Eukaryota, Metazoa, Arthropoda, Insecta, Diptera, Muscidae. The record is from RefSeq and is a predicted model, not a curated record. The transcript is spliced from 3 exons.
CUCACGACCUGGAUCCCCCAUAGCUGUUCCACUAUGUUGCAUGCGCAUUCGUCGCCCACUACCUAAACUCGAACUGCGUCGACCCGAAAGACUUCGGGUAACCAAGUUUAUUGACGGCAGUCCUCUGGCCUUUAUUGCCAAAUCGUCUGCCCUUUCAUUUCCCCUUACUCCGUUAUGGUCCAGCACCCAAACGUACGGAUUUUCCCAUCCUCAGAGAAGGCGUUAAUCUCCUUCUUACACUGCAAGACUGUUCGUGAACUUACCUUCCUGGUUGUUAAGGUUGUUAAGGAGAAUACGAAGCUGUCAAUUGAUUUUCAAUACCUUGGGACCUUAAAAAAUCAGAAAAGCUUUUUUCAACAUAUUCGCCUCCGCUAUCAGAACGAAUUUUCUUAGCGAUAUUAGCCUUAUUACAGUGAAUUCCGAAUAAUAAUCAAUAAUGGUGUCUACAUACGGUUUUCCUGAUAGUGUCACCGUUUGCAUCCACGAUCCACAGACAUCACUAUAAAUCAAAACCAAAGGCGCCAAUGAUUUAAUUUUCGGCUAAAUUGGAUUUGAACAUGUUUCUAAUAAUUGCCUCAGGAUCACGAUGUCCUAGUUUACGGUGCCAUUGAUGUAUACAAUUUUCGUUGUGUUGCAUUACCAAAUUUACACCCUCAGAUUGACGCAAAAUGUACACAUCACCAUCAAUAUCAGCCAAUCCUGUAUCUUUCAAGCCAAUAUUAAUGCAACAUCUGUUAUUCUUGAAUAGAACAUCGUAUCCAUCUUUAAUAAGGUUUCGCACAAAGACUAUGUUCCCAACCAGAGAAGGAGCAUAAAGCACUUCGUUUGCAUGUAGUACACCCAGAGAAAAGUUGAUACCAUACGGUAUUGAUAGUAAAGUAACACUGUAUGGUACAAAAACAAUACCAGAUGGUAUGGAUGAACCAUAGAAUGAUUGGUACCUCUUGGUAAAAGCCUUAUUACCGAACUGGUAUUGGUUUUAGUACCAAACCGUUAUUUAUUAUUCCACCCCAAACCAUUGAAAAUAAUUUUAAUCUAAUUUUAUUUUGAUUAUUUAUGUUAAUAAUGAUAAUGUAAUGUUAUACCAUGACCUACCUCAGUUCUAUGUAUUCAGCAAUUGAUUCCAUAUCCAUCGAUUCACAGAAGUGGAUUUCAUAUGAAUGCACCAACACAGCAUCGUUUUCCACACAAUGAACUAUCAUGGUUUUUAUGUAGAAUGUCCUUAGAAUUUGUACAACUUCGAUUUCGAUGAACAGGUUUUUACGCACUCAAAUUGUAUUAAAACAUUUUAUUUAUAUCUUUAACAAAUAUUUUAUAAUGGCGACAAUAUUUUAAGUGCAGAGCUCAACAUCACUUCUGGUGCGAUGAGGUUAGCAUGUCCGCCUAUGACGCUGAACGCCCGAGUUCGAAUCCUGGCGAGACCAUCAGGAAAAUUUUUCAGCGGUGGCUUUCCCCUCCUAAAGCUGGCAACAUUUGUGAGGUAAUAUGCCAUGCCAACAUUUAUGAGGUAAUGUGCCGGCAUUCAAACGAUGCAAAAUCCGCAUCGUCUACGCAGUCCGAGUUAAGGGAUUGGGCGACGAAUGCGCAUGCAACAUUGUGGAAAAGCGAAACAGUCGGUAGGACGCCGAAAAUCUUAUGGGGGGAUACAAAUCGUGAGAA